UUUAUUUGGUUUUGGUUUUCACUGGCGCUGAGCAGGGCCCAGACUUAAACCCAACACCCAGAUCCAAUGGCUUCGACACCGUGCCUUGGCCCCGGCUAUUCGGCAUCCUUUCUGAAGCGAAAGUGCAAAAUUGUAACGAGAUUUACGAAGCGAAGCGAACGUACCCUAUAGAAUACAAGUAGUUGGAUUGACGGAUGCGAUAGAUGCACACAGCUGUCAGACCAUUUGACAAAUAUCUGACAGCCGAACUAAAUGUCAACAGCACUUGGGAGUGAUGCAGAUGCAGAUGUGAAAUCACAGCCCUUUGCGCAAUUUGCACAAACAACGCAUGCGGCAAAUAGCAAUCGAAAUCGAAAUUCAACUGCAAAUAGAAAUUGUGGCGGUCACAGCAAAAAAUACCCAUAAAGUAACAAAAGUAACAACAAAAACAACAGCAACAACUAAGCCGAAUCGAGUGACAGCUGUUGCAAAUAACAAACGUCAGCUGCAAGCCGCAACAACAACGGCCACAACGGCAACAACAAC
This is a long non-coding RNA of Drosophila grimshawi, 525 nucleotides long. RefSeq lists it as uncharacterized. NCBI's taxonomy places the organism in Eukaryota, Metazoa, Arthropoda, Insecta, Diptera, Drosophilidae. The record is from RefSeq and is a predicted model, not a curated record. The transcript has 3 exons.